GCAGGCCUAAUACAUGCAGUCGAACGGUGUAGCAAUACAUAGUGGCGCACGGGUGCGUAACACGUAUGCAACCUACCUUACAUUGGGGGAUAGCCUUUCGAAAGGGAGAUUAAUACCGCAUAAGACAGUAGAACCGCAUGGUUCAGCUGUUAAAGAUUUAUCGAUGUAAGAUGGGCAUGCGUCCAAUUAGCUAGUUGGUGAGGUAAUGGCUCACCAAGGCUUUGAUUGGUAGGGGAACUGAGAGGUCAAUCCCCCACACUGGCACUGAGAUACGGGCCAGACUCCUACGGGAGGCAGCAGUAGGGAAUAUUGGGCAAUGGACGCAAGUCUGACCCAGCCAUGCCGCGUGCAGGAUGAAGGCGUUAUGCGUUGUAAACUGCUUUUAUACAGGAAGAAACGACUCUUGCGAGAGGCAUUGACGGUACUGUAUGAAUAAGCACCGGCUAACUCCGUGCCAGCAGCCGCGGUAAUACGGAGGGUGCAAGCGUUGUCCGGAUUUAUUGGGUUUAAAGGGUGCGCAGGUGGUUUAUUAAGUCAGUGGUGAAAGACGGUCGCUCAACGAUUGCAGUGCCAUUGAAACUAGUAGACUUGAGUAAAGUAGAGGUGGGCGGAAUUGAUAGUGUAGCGGUGAAAUGCAUAGAUAUUAUCAAGAACUCCAAUUGCGUAGGCAGCUCACUUGGCUUUUACUGACACUCAUGCACGAAAGUGUGGGUAUCAAACAGGAUUAGAUACCCUGGUAGUCCACACUGUAAACGAUGAUAACUAGGUGUCGGCCGAAUCUGGUCGGUGCCACAGCGAAAGCGUUAAGUUAUCCACCUGGGGAGUACGCCGGCAACGGUGAAACUCAAAUGAAUUGACGG
This 860-nucleotide ribosomal RNA is filed under the name uncultured bacterium. Its description in RNAcentral is "bacterial SSU rRNA". It matches the Rfam family "Bacterial small subunit ribosomal RNA", at positions 42 to 916 of the family's 1533-position model. The record is from RNAcentral.